Molecule: ribosomal RNA, 465 nt
Filed under: uncultured bacterium
Lineage: Bacteria
Description: partial 16S ribosomal RNA
Rfam family: Bacterial small subunit ribosomal RNA
Source: RNAcentral
GACGAACGCUGGCGGCGUGCUUAACACAUGCAAGUCGUACGGUAAGGCCCUUUCGGGGGUACACGAGUGGCGAACGGGUGAGUAACACGUGAGUAACCUGCCCACAACUUUGGGAUAACGCUAGGAAACUGGUGCUAAUACUGGAUAUGUGCCCCUGCUGCAUGGUGGGGGUUGGAAAGCUCCGGCGGUUGUGGAUGGACUCGCGGCCUAUCAGCUUGUUGGUGGGGUAGUGGCCUACCAAGGCGGCGACGGGUAGCCGGCCUGAGAGGGUGACCGGCCACAUUGGGACUGAGAUACGGCCCAGACUCCUACGGGAGGCAGCAGUGGCGAAUAUUGCACAAUGGGCGCAAGCCUGAUGCAGCAACGCCGCGUGCGGGAUGACGGCCUUCGGGUUGUAAACCGCGUUCAGCAGGGACGAAGCUUUUUGUGACGGUACCUGCAGAAGAAGCACCGGCUAACUACGUG